This 846-nucleotide long non-coding RNA is filed under the name Homo sapiens (human). RNAcentral's name for it is "HSALNT0259961". Lineage: Eukaryota; Metazoa; Chordata; Mammalia; Primates; Hominidae. The record is from RNAcentral.
CCUUAUGGAGCCAAAAACAGCUCCUAGCUCUUCAGCUAUUUAGGUGAGAAGUAUAUGGGUCAAAGCAGGGGAGGUACAUGUAAGUGCUCAAUGAAUAUUAGCUGUUUUUAUUCAUCUGUAUGUUGAAGAGAAUGGACGAGAUGUUCUCUAAGCCCCCUCCUGGCUUUUACAAUUCUCUGCUCUAACGUUAUCAAAACUUUUCCUUUGAGAAGGGGGAAGGGAGACAGAGUUUUUUGGGAACCUCUCUCCACAUCCCUUCCUUAGCAUAGCCAAGCCUUACCCAUGAAGCUGUGAAUAGGAAAUUGAACUUAGGCUGCCUCCUAGAGCAUGGCGCUGAGUUAAGCAGUAUCCGCAGGAAGAAAGGCCAGUGUUAGGCCCUCAGAUUACUCUGGAUGGGCCUGGAGCCCUGCACAGGACUUUGCUCACCUGUCUCUCUCCCGUUUUCUCUGAUCUUGUCUUUCUGUCUUCCUCUUUCUCGUUCCCUGCAAGUCAACCUUACCCUUAACUGCCCUGUGUGCUCCUGCAACUUUGCAACUUUGCAUGAUUUUGUCCAGUGGUUUCUCCUAGAUGCCUCUGCCAUGUUUAUCCUUAUUUAUACGUCUGUCUGUGUGUGUGUCAGUCUGAGUGCAUGUUUGAGGUUCCUGUGUGCAUGUAUGUUUCAGCAUGUCCCUGUUGACAGAUGAAUUUAUGCAUGCACCAGGCUUUGUGGAGUGUGUGUUUGUGCUUGAUAAGUGGGCAUCCAUUCCAACUUAUGUCUACACAUGCACAUCUUUGUGAGUACCUGAUGAGGUGCAUGUGUGUUCCUGCCACCUUUCCUGAAUGUUUGCCAGUCUCUGUCUGUCUGUG